GGUGGUUGAUCGCGUUCGGAAGUGUAAUCUUGGGGCUUAACCCUGAGCGUGCUUUCGAUACGGGUUGACUUGAGGAAAGGUAGGGGAGAAUGGAAUUCCUGGUGGAGCGGUGGAAUGCGCAGAUAUCAGGAGGAACACCAGUGGCGAAGGCGGUUCUCUGGGCCUUUCCUGACGCUGAGGAGCGAAAGCGUGGGGAGCGAACAGGCUUAGAUACCCUGGUAGUCCACGCUGUAAACGGUGGGUACUAGGUGUGGGGUCCAUUCCACGGGUUCCGUGCCGUAGCUAACGCUUUAAGUACCCCGCCUGGGGAGUACGGCCGCAAGGCUAAAACUCAAAGGAAUUGACGGGGCCCCGCACAAGCGGCGGAGCAUGCGGAUUAAUUCGAUGCAACGCGUAGAACCUUACCUGGGUUUGACAUGGAUCGGGAGUGCUCAGAGAUGGGUGUGCCUCUUUUGGGGUCGGUUCACAGGUGGUGCAUGGCUGUCGUCAGCUCGUGUCGUGAGAUGUUGGGUUAAGUCCCGCAACGAGCGCAACCCUUGUUCACUGUUGCCAGCACGUUAUGGUGGGGACUCAGUGGAGACCGCCGGGGUCAACUCGGAGGAAGGUGGGGAUGACGUCAAGUCAUCAUGCCCCUUAUGUCCAGGGCUUCACGCAUGCUACAAUGGCUGGUACAGAGAGUGGCGAGCCUGUGAGGGUGAGCGAAUCUCGGAAAGCCGGUCUCAGUUCGGAUUGGGGUCUGCAACUCGACCUCAUGAAGUCGGAGUCGCUAGUAAUCGCAGAUCAGCAACGCUGCGGUGAAUACGUUCCCGGGGCUUGUACACACCGCCCGUCAAGUCAUGAAAGUUGGUAACACCCGAAGCCGGUGGCCUAACCGUUGUGGGGGAGCCGUCGAAGGUGGGACUGGUGAUUAGGACUAAGUCGUAACAAGGUAGCCGUACCGGAAGGUGCGGCUGGAUCACCUCCUUCU
This 967-nucleotide ribosomal RNA is filed under the name uncultured bacterium. RNAcentral describes it as "bacterial SSU rRNA". It matches the Rfam family "Bacterial small subunit ribosomal RNA", at positions 574 to 1533 of the family's 1533-position model. The record is from RNAcentral.